This 253-nucleotide ribosomal RNA is filed under the name uncultured bacterium. RNAcentral's name for it is "partial 16S ribosomal RNA". It matches the Rfam family "Bacterial small subunit ribosomal RNA", at positions 524 to 776 of the family's 1533-position model. The record is from RNAcentral.
UACGAAGGGGGCUAGCGUUGCUCGGAAUCACUGGGCGUAAAGGGCGCGUAGGCGGCCAUUCAAGUCAGAGGUGAAAGCCCAAGGCUCAACCUUGGAAUUGCCUUUGAUACUGUUUGGCUUGAGACCGGAAGAGGUUAGUGGAACUGCGAGUGUAGAGGUGAAAUUCGUAGAUAUUCGCAAGAACACCAGUGGCGAAGGCGGCUAACUGGUCCGGUUCUGACGCUGAGGCGCGAAAGCCAGGGGAGCAAACGGG